AAAUUGAAGAGUUUGAUCAUGGCUCAGAUUGAACGCUGGCGGCAGGCCUAACACAUGCAAGUCGAACGGUAACAGGGAAACAGCUUGCUG
Molecule: ribosomal RNA, 90 nt
Filed under: Escherichia coli
Lineage: Bacteria; Pseudomonadati; Pseudomonadota; Gammaproteobacteria; Enterobacterales; Enterobacteriaceae
Description: partial 16S ribosomal RNA
Rfam family: Bacterial small subunit ribosomal RNA
Source: RNAcentral